UACAGAGGGUGCAAGCGUUGUUCGGAAUUAUUGGGCGUAAAGGGCGCGUAGGCGGUGCGGUAAGUCUGUAGUGAAAUCUCUGGGCUCAACUCAGAGUCUGCUAUAGAAACUGCCGUGCUUGAGUGUGGGAGAGGUGAGUGGAAUUUCCGGUGUAGCGGUGAAAUGCGUAGAUAUCGGAAGGAACACCUGUGGCGAAAGCGGCUCACUGGACCAUUACUGACGCUGAGGCACGAAAGCUAGGGGAGCAAACAGG
RNAcentral lists this ribosomal RNA (253 nucleotides) under uncultured bacterium. RNAcentral's name for it is "partial 16S ribosomal RNA". It matches the Rfam family "Bacterial small subunit ribosomal RNA", at positions 524 to 776 of the family's 1533-position model. The record is from RNAcentral.